This 354-nucleotide ribosomal RNA is filed under the name uncultured bacterium. RNAcentral's name for it is "partial 16S ribosomal RNA". It matches the Rfam family "Bacterial small subunit ribosomal RNA", at positions 338 to 709 of the family's 1533-position model. The record is from RNAcentral.
CCUACGGGUGGCAGCAGUAGGGGAUAUUGCUCAAUGGGGGAAACCCUGAUGCAGCGACGCCGCGUGGAGGAUGAAGGUUUUCGGAUUGUACACUCCUUUUGUCAGGGACGAUAAUCACGGUUUCUUACCUAUACACCCCCGCCAACUCCGUUCCAGCCACCGCCGUAAAACGGAGGGUGCAGGCGUUACUCGGAAGUACUGGGUGUAAAGGGCGCGUUGGCGGGAAAGUAAGUCAGAUGUGAAAGCCUAUGGCUUAACCAUGGGACUUCAGUUGAAACUGGACGUCUGGAGUUGGGGAGCGGAAGGCGGAAUUCUUGGUGUAGGGGUAAAAUGCGUAGAUAUCAGGAGGAAUAC